ACCCUGAUCCAGCCAUCCCGCGUGUGCGAUGAAGGCCUUCGGGUUGUAAAGCACUUUUGGCAGGAAAGAAACGGCGCUGGAUAAUACCUGGCGCAACUGACGGUACCUGCAGAAUAAGCACCGGCUAACUACGUGCCAGCAGCCGCGGUAAUACGUAGGGUGCAAGCGUUAAUCGGAAUUACUGGGCGUAAAGCGUGCGCAGGCGGUUCGGAAAGAAAGAUGUGAAAUCCCAGGGCUUAACCUUGGAACUGCAUUUUUAACUACCGGGCUAGAGUGUGUCAGAGGGGGGUGGAAUUCCACGUGUAGCAGUGAAAUGCGUAGAUAUGUGGAGGAACACCGAUGGCGAAGGCAGCCCCCUGGGAUAACACUGACGCUCAUGCACGAAAGCGUGGGGAGCAAACAGGAUUAGAUACCCUGGUAGUCCACGCCCUAAACGAUGUCAACUAGCUGUUGGGGCCUUCGGGCCUUGGUAGCGCAGCUAACGCGUGAAGUUGACCGCCUGGGGAGUACGGUCGCAAGAUUAAAACUCAAAGGAAUUGACGGGGACCCGCACAAGCGGUGGAUGAUGUGGAUUAAUUCGAUGCAACGCGAAAAACCUUACCUACCCUUGACAUGUCUGGAAUCCUGAAGAGAUUUAGGAGUGCUCGCAAGAGAACCGGAACACAGGUGCUGCAUGGCUGUCGUCAGCUCGUGUCGUGAGAUGUUGGGUUAAGUCCCGCAACGAGCGCAACCCUUGUCAUUAGUUGCUACGAAAGGGCACUCUAAUGAGACUGCCGGUGACAAACCGGAGGAAGGUGGGGAUGACGUCAAGUCCUCAUGGCCCUUAUGGGUAGGGCUUCACACGUCAUACAAUGGUCGGGACAGAGGGUCGCCAACCCGCGAGGGGGAGCCAAUCCCAGAAACCCGAUCGUAGUCCGGAUCGCAGUCUGCAACUCGACUGCGUGAAGUCGGAAUCGCUAGUAAUCGCGGAUCAGCAUGUCGCGGUGAAUACGUUCCCGGGUCUUGUACACACCGCCCGUCACACCAUGGGAGUGGGUUUUACCAGAAGUAGUUAGCCUAACCGCAAGGAGGGCGAUUACCACGGUAGGAUUCAUGACUGGGGUGAAGUCGUAACAAGGUAGCCGUAUCGGAAGGUGCGGCUG
RNAcentral lists this ribosomal RNA (1142 nucleotides) under metagenome. RNAcentral's name for it is "bacterial SSU rRNA". It matches the Rfam family "Bacterial small subunit ribosomal RNA", at positions 380 to 1520 of the family's 1533-position model. The record is from RNAcentral.